RNAcentral lists this ribosomal RNA (101 nucleotides) under uncultured bacterium. RNAcentral describes it as "partial 16S ribosomal RNA". The record is from RNAcentral.
AAGGCUUCGGUUGUAAACCCUUCAGUUGGGACGAAGCUUCGCCGGUGAACAGCCGGCCGGAGUGACGGUACCUUCACAAGAAGCACCGGCUAACUACGUGC